AGCGGUCAUGGCGAAUGGGAUGAACCAUACGUCUGAAUAAGGUGCCGAAAUGUACUAUCACUGAUACCAUAAAGGGAGUCCAUGUAUUUAGACAGCAGGUCGGUGCCCCUAAAAGCAGGUAUCCGCUAAAGAGUGUGUUAAAACUCACCUGCCGAAUACUAGGGCCCCGAAAAUGAAUGGCGCAUAUAGUACUACCGAUCUCAGACAUCAGUUCUAUUGAACUGAGAGUAGGGGGAUGUGGACAUUUUUGUGAAGGUGCAAUGUGAGUUGGACUGGAAGAAUGUCUAUUACAGAUCCUAAUUGAAGUAGCGAUUAUCCAGGCUUGUAUCCUGGGGGCUGAUGAGGAGUAGGGUUUCUGGACAACUUAAACAGAUCCAGAGUUAGUCGAUCCUAAUCUCAAUAAUGGGAGAAAGGGAGUACAGUUGAUAUUCUGUAACUGACAACAGUUCGCGGCAACGCAUACUAUUUUUCUCCGCCAAUCUUAUACCGUUGGUAGGGAUCUCUUUCCUACAUGACAGUACUAAUACCCAGGGAAACUGGUCAUCAGGCGAACUGCGGCGUUCUGCUGGCAAAACAUAGCUUCGGUUAUGUCAAUGGCUAUUGGAUUGGUCCAUGAAGCGAAAAAUAGUUUACUGUGUCACUCGUACCGAUAACCGCAUCAGGUCUUCUAGGUAAGUAGCCUAUGGCCAUUGAGGCAUGAUAGUUCAGGGAAUUCGGCCAAUUAGAGCUGUAACUUCGGGAUAAAGCUUGGCUCUGAUGAAAAUCAGAACCGAUUGUUACGCGGAGAGCCCAACUGUUUAAUAAAAACGUAGUGUCGCGCUGUGGUAGUAUAGCCAGUGAACGCGACAUGAAUCCUGCUCAGUGCUGUGUCUGUUAAUAUGGUUCAAGCCAACGAAGCACCGGUAAAUAGCUGGGGUAACUAUGACUCUUAUCAAAGUAGCGAAAUACCUCGUCACUUAAUUAGUGACCUGCAUG
This 975-nucleotide non-coding RNA is filed under the name Trichomonas vaginalis G3. RNAcentral's name for it is "Eukaryotic large subunit ribosomal RNA". It matches the Rfam family "Eukaryotic large subunit ribosomal RNA", at positions 1143 to 2317 of the family's 3401-position model. The record is from Rfam by way of RNAcentral. Lineage: Eukaryota; Parabasalia; Trichomonadida; Trichomonadidae.